GACAGAGGCCACGAACGUUGUUCGGAAUCACUGGGCAUAAAGCGCACGUAGGCGGCUGGGUCCGUCCGAUGUGAAAGCCCCCGGCUCAACCGGGGAAUUGCAUCGGAUACAGCCCGGCUUGAGGACGGUUGGGGUGAGUGGAACUCCUGGUGGAGCGGUGAAAUGCGUAGAUAUCAGGAGGAACACCGGUGGCGAAAGCGGCGCACUGGACCGUAACUGACGCUGAGGUGCGAAAGCUAGGGGAGCAAACGGG
This 253-nucleotide ribosomal RNA is filed under the name uncultured bacterium. Its description in RNAcentral is "partial 16S ribosomal RNA". It matches the Rfam family "Bacterial small subunit ribosomal RNA", at positions 524 to 776 of the family's 1533-position model. The record is from RNAcentral.